Molecule: long non-coding RNA, 1509 nt
Filed under: Carassius auratus (goldfish)
Lineage: Eukaryota; Metazoa; Chordata; Actinopteri; Cypriniformes; Cyprinidae
Description: lncRNA (ENSCARG00000030467.1)
Source: RNAcentral
AUGAACCGACCCCAAUGGAACUCAGCAGACAGGAGGCAAUGCUGGAUGGCAUCAGCCGGCCAGCGAGAUUGUUUUGAGGGCUCUCGCCUUGUGGUGUUCCGGGGGACCAGGGGAGGUCGUUCCGGAGUGAGCGGGCGAGAGGAGCCCCAGAGGUCCCCACCUACCCAGCUGCCCACGGUCCCAGAGGGUCGUGUCCUGGCCGUGGCAACCCUGGGGGAUCAGGCAAGUCCCCCCCAGAGUCCUGAGGCACCACCCACUACCUUCAGUCUCCCCAACAAGCGAGGGAGACGGUUUUCAUGGGAGUCGGCUUCAGAGUCUUCGGCGUCCGAGUCUGCCCUGUCCGAGGCCAAACUCCCCCAACCCGCCUCUGACCCAGCUGUAGCCUCUGCACCGCGCCCGAGGAGGAAGAGGAAGAAGAAGGGGCCUGCCGGUCCUGUGACCCUGUCUCCUCCCGAGCCAGCAGCGGUGAGCGCUGGCGUGCCCGUGCCAGCAGCGGUGAGCGCUGGCGUGCCCGUGCCAGCAGCGGUGAGCGCUGGCGUGCCCGUGCCAGCAGCGGAGAGAGCUGGCGUGCCCGAGCCAGCAGCGGUGGGCGUGCCCGAGCCAGCAGCGGUGGGCGUGCCCGAGCCAGCAGCGGUGAGCGUGCCCGAGCCAGCAGCGGUGGGCGUGCCCGAGCCAGCAGCGGUGGGCGUGCCCGAGCCAGCAGCGGUGAGCGUGCCCGAGCCGGCAAAGAAGAGAGCUGCAGUCGUGAGAGCGGAGGAGAGAGCCGCGGCCGACUCUGCAGCAAAGACUCUUGUACAGUCGGUCUCUUCUCAUAAGGAGAUGCCUAUUAUCCUUGCUGCUAAAGCCUUUUCUGAUUAUUUGUCCCGUCUUGUCCAAAUUUUAGAAGUCCCCGUCAGUCCUGUUUUGUCCCCUGACCCUGUCCCCAGAAGUCCUAAGUGUCCAGCCGUUGUCUCCCCGUGUCCAGCCGUUGUCUCCCCGUGUCCCGUUGAUGUGUCCCCGUGUCCCGUUGAUGUGUCCCCGUGUCCCGUUGAUGUGGCCCCGUGUCCUGUUGAUGUGGCCCCGUGUCCCGUUAAUGUUGCCCCGUGUCCUGUUGUCCCCCCGUGUCCAGUAGAUGUUGUCCCCCCGUGUCCAGUAGAUGUCGUCUCCCCGCGUCCCGUAAGUGUUGCCCCGCGUCCCGUAAGUGUUGCCCCGCGUCCCUUGUCUGCUCCCGUCAUGCCCCCGGUCAGUUGUUCCGAGACCCCUCCCCGCCCCUCACCACCCAGACCUGCCCGUACCCCCCGUCGUCAGCCUUUGUCCUGUCCUCUUAAGAUUCCUACCCCACCCACCCGCCCUGGUCUGUCCCCCAUGAACUUUGUGGUCCCGCCCCCUCCCCUUCCCUGUUUGUUUUUUUUUAUUUGUCACCCCAACCCUGCCAUUGUGUACUCAUGUUUGCCUUUGUUGUUAUUUGUCAUGUCCUGUUGGUUUGUAUCUGUGUCCCAGUCUGUCAUGUCAGUCGUGUCCCGUGUUUGA